CGCCUCCCUUCUCCUCUAUCCCUUCUUCUUCACCCAAAACAUUUCAACCCAGUUUCUCGUCUUCAUCCUCGACUAACAAGUGGGUUCUUCACCUGGGUUCUUCACCUUUUCCUUUGGGGAUAAAUCUCUGUGCUUUGCCCCUUUUGUGUUUGUUGAAAUGCCCCCAAUGAGUUUUGUUGCUUAGUUUGGAGCUCAGAGUGUUUUACUUGGGCAUGUUCUGUUUAGGUCAAAUCGCUAAGCUUUUCAGUACUUUGUGCUAGUCUGGAGUGUUUCUAGCCGUUACCCAUUUGCAAGGUUCCAGCUUUUGUUUCAUUUAGUUGCAUUAGGUUGUAUCUUUUGUUCAAAUCAUUCCUAAA
Molecule: long non-coding RNA, 356 nt
Filed under: Linum usitatissimum (flax)
Lineage: Eukaryota; Viridiplantae; Streptophyta; Magnoliopsida; Malpighiales; Linaceae
Description: long non-coding RNA (LUSI_LNC003528)
Source: RNAcentral